UCCCCGAUAGCUCAGCUGGUAGAGCGACGGACUGUUAAUCCGCAGGUCCCAGGUUCGAGCCCUGGUCGGGGAGCCA
RNAcentral lists this transfer RNA (76 nucleotides) under Nitrosospira sp. RNAcentral describes it as "tRNA-Asn". It matches the Rfam family "tRNA". Rfam says of the family: Transfer RNA (tRNA) molecules are approximately 80 nucleotides in length. Their secondary structure includes four short double-helical elements and three loops (D, anti-codon, and T loops). Lineage: Bacteria; Pseudomonadati; Pseudomonadota; Betaproteobacteria; Nitrosomonadales; Nitrosomonadaceae. RNAcentral also lists the same sequence under 16 other names. The record is from RNAcentral.